GGGCGUGUGGCCUAGCAAGGAUAUGGCAGCAGCCUCCUAAGCUGCAGAUCACGGGUUCGAAUCCCGUCACGCCCG
This 75-nucleotide transfer RNA is filed under the name Methanomicrobia archaeon. RNAcentral's name for it is "tRNA-Arg". It matches the Rfam family "tRNA". From Rfam's summary of the family: Transfer RNA (tRNA) molecules are approximately 80 nucleotides in length. The record is from RNAcentral. Lineage: Archaea; Methanobacteriati; Methanobacteriota; Methanomicrobia.